RNAcentral lists this long non-coding RNA (695 nucleotides) under Homo sapiens (human). RNAcentral's name for it is "HSALNT0362596". Lineage: Eukaryota; Metazoa; Chordata; Mammalia; Primates; Hominidae. The record is from RNAcentral.
AAUGAGCAGCACCCCCUGACACAAACGGAGGUUGGAGGACAGGCCAAUCGCUCCCAGCUAUUUGAGCCAAUGGAGAAGUUCCUGAUGCCCACACCUGCUGGUCUCACCGCUAGGGCCUGGGCAUCACAGGCAGGGGGAAUGGGGAGGGGACGGUAGCGUCAGCCUACACCCACACGCAGUUUCCUGAUAAAAGGUCCUUUGGAAACUUUGAUUCUCUUCUCACCAAGUUGAACGGAGAUGUGUUCCCAUAAACACCAUUUCCUGCAGCCUGAAAAGAAGACAGUAUAAUUGUUUGGCAGCAAGAGGCCAAGCAGGAAACUAGAGAUAUGGUGACGGUAGUGGUCCCAGGGAGGAGCUUUAACCUGAGCACCACCCACAGAAGGCAGACCACCCUCCCAGCCGCAGUGCAAAUGAAUGUUGGCCCCCACCCAGGUCCCCAAGUGCUUUCCCAGUCACGCCCCAGCUGCCAGGUUUUUUUCUCCAGGCCUACUACAGAUGGGUUACCCUGACUCCACCCCCAACACCCUCCAAUGAUUAGAACCACUGACUCCUCCCUCCCAUGCCUGCCUCCAUGGCAGGCCCCUGCAGAAACCAAACAUAGUCACCUUAGACUCUGGCAUACUGAGACCAGGGCUUGAUCCUGGCCCCCUUGCCUCCCUGGCAAUUUAUCAUUUAAUAAAAAUAUUGUUAAAAAA